RNAcentral lists this ribosomal RNA (505 nucleotides) under Flavobacterium columnare. RNAcentral describes it as "partial 16S-23S ribosomal RNA intergenic spacer". The stretch from base 225 to 298 matches the Rfam family "tRNA". The record is from RNAcentral. Lineage: Bacteria; Pseudomonadati; Bacteroidota; Flavobacteriia; Flavobacteriales; Flavobacteriaceae.
AUAAAGACCUAGGGUCUUACUCUCGCUGUUAGUUCAAAAAAAAGACUUAAAAUCCAGAGUCUCGUAGCCUCAGCUGGUUAGAGUCCUCCCCUGAAUAAUGUGGGGGUCGGCAGUUCGAGUCUGCCCGGGACUCCUUUUAACAAGUUUUUUAAGAGAAAAAGGAAAUUUUAGAAGUUGAGUCCUUGAAUUUUGAAAUUUGAGAUUUAAAUUUUGAAAUUGAAAACGGGGGAUUAGCUCACCUGGCUAGAGCGCCUGCCUUGCCCGCAGGAGGUCAUCGGUUCGCCUCCAAUAUUCUCCACAAAAAAAAUGAUAAUUAUCAAUUGAUAAUUGUUAAUUGAUUAAAGUUCAUUGACAUUUUGAGAUAAACAUCCAACCAAGUGGAAAGAACCCAAAAAAAUGUGAAUUUUAAAUUGGGAAUUAUGAAUUGAUUCAUCAUUUAUAAAUUAACAUUUAUAAUUAAAAAAGAAACAAUAACCAAAAUAGGGGCGUAUGGGGGAUCCCUAGA